GAUGCUUAGUAUUAUUAUGUUUUGAACACAGAGAAAUCUCAUAUGUGUAAAACUGCAGAGAAUUCUAGUGUGGACAUUUACGAAUCAGGAAAUGAUUUCCAUGGAGAACUUUCACUCAGAGCCUCGUGCUGAUUUGUGAAAUCUUCGCCCGGGGCUUGUGUCUCCUGAACAAACUGAAAGUUUUGUGAUUUUUAGAUGUCAGAGGUGAAUUUGAAAGUCACGGCCAGAAGUAAGGGUAGAUAUGGGCAAUUACCUCAGUAAACCAGGCGUAAAAUGUGCUGGUAAUAUUUGGCUCAUUUAGUCUUCAGUUCUCUACUUUGCUGUGGUUGUAAAGACAUGGCCUUUCUUUCCUUUUACAAUUUUGAAUUUAGACCUCCAGAGAACAAAAUGCACCAAUCCAUCAUCUUCCUGUGGCCACUGUCAUCUCAGAACCAUCUCUGAGGCCCAGUGAGUGAACCAGUCAAUGCAAGACUCGGAGGCCAGGGCAGAUUGCCCACUGGGGUGUGGCUGGCCAACCUGGGGUGACACUGAUAUCGAUCGCACAUUUUAUCACAUGCCAGAGUGGACGACACACAUGCUUUCAGCAGGUCUUCCAACAAAUCUGGAAGAUUCUGGAUAACUCUCCGUGUCCUUCAGGUUUCUGCUCAGACGUAACCUUCUCCAGGAAGCCCACUCCAACUCCCAAGAUUAAAUUUUGCGUCCCUCUUCUAGGGGACCUGUACCUAUGGAAGGACAGUAAGAGCAUUUGGUCACCAGUUUACUUAUCUGUCUCACACAAAGGACUACAAGCAAAUUGAGAGGGGAAACAUUGCUUCUUUCAUCUUUGUGUUUUCAAUGCCUGGAAUCAAGGCUUGCACAUCGAAAGUAAUCGAGAAAUAUUCGUUGAAUGUUGAAUGAAUGACAGGUGUGAUAACUUCUAAUUACACUGAAAUUUUUAGCAACUCCCAUUUGUUCAGCCAUUCCCAAAGUAUUCAACUUAGUUACCAGAAAAAUAACACAUUUUUUUCUUUUCCCACUCUCAUAUCAUCAGCUUAUAUAAUAUUUAAUUUAAUUACGUAAUUACAAAAACAAGCACAACUGGCAUAAAGAAAUUUAAGGAUAAAAUCUUGACUCACUAGGCACAUAGCUGAACCCAUGAGAGCGGAAGUAAUUUACUAGCCGUAAGCACAGAGAUGGGCAACAUUUGUUCAUCUGUAAGUUAAGUAGGAGUCUCUUAAAGUUUCUACAGGAUAUAGAGACAGCUUACAAUUUAGUAAUAGUUAACAACCUGUUGAAGUUUAUUUGUAAGUUUGAUGAGUUGCAUCCUAAAACAUAUUUUGGCAGACAAGAUAAGAAAUGAUUAAUGCUUGCAAGAUUGGGCAAAAAGUCCUCAUUAACAUGGAAGUUGAACUAAUGCUACAUUAUUGUAGCCUGAAUUUUAGGUCCGGGGAGCUGGGGAAUAUAUAAUACAGAAAGGAGAAGGAAUCACAUAAAGAGGACUUUCCUUUUUCUUGGUACUGGAAAGGC
RNAcentral lists this long non-coding RNA (1506 nucleotides) under Equus caballus (horse). Its description in RNAcentral is "lncRNA (ENSECAG00000049253.1)". Lineage: Eukaryota; Metazoa; Chordata; Mammalia; Perissodactyla; Equidae. The record is from RNAcentral.